This 254-nucleotide ribosomal RNA is filed under the name uncultured bacterium. RNAcentral's name for it is "partial 16S ribosomal RNA". It matches the Rfam family "Bacterial small subunit ribosomal RNA", at positions 524 to 776 of the family's 1533-position model. The record is from RNAcentral.
UACGGAGGGUGCGAGCGUUGUCCGGAAUCAUUGGGCGUAAAGGGCGCGUAGGUGGCCCGGUCAGUUCGUGGUGAAAGCGCGGGGCUCAACCCUGCGUCGGCCAUGAAUACUGCCGCGGCUGGAGCACUGUAGAGGCAGGCGGAAUUCCGGGUGUAGCGGUGGAAUGCGUAGAGAUCCGGAGGAACACCAGUGGCGAAGGCGGCUCGCUGGGCUCUACCUGACGCUGAGGCGCGAAAGCGUGGGGAGCGAACCGG